GGUUUUUUUGUUAUAUCUGGGGAGUAUUGCAUUUGAUUGAAACCAUGAGUAUUGCUGCACAGGUUUGCUUAAGCCAAAGCAACUGCCUGUCCCUAGCCAUUACUCACAGCAGUGAGAAAACUUCACAGGGCUUAGCUUAGGCAUCUCCCAGUCCCUGGAGCUUAGAUACAGUCCAGGACACACCAUGUGGAUAAACAAGAGGGUUGACACAGCUGUGCAGGAGCUGUGAGGAGGUUUUGGAGCAGCCAAGCAGGAACAGCUUUGGGUAAUUGCCAUUGCACCAGAUCCUGCUCUGAAAAUGCUGUCCCUCCCACACAUCACACUGUCUUCCUUUCUGGACAUUGGAGACUACUCUGGUCUGGGACAGAGGAAAGAAAAUUCUCAUCAUCAGUGAGGGGCCCAGCAUUGGUUUCCUGCACCCCUUUCACCUGCAGAGCAGGGGGAAUAUCCUGGGCUGCUCCAGCUGGAGCACAUCCAUGUGUUCCCCUUCUCCACACACGCCUGGCUCUGCACUUCCUGCCCCGAGCAUGCACUGGAGACUCUGCCAGGACACCUGGUCCUUCCUGCCCCCUGGGAGUGUCAUCCACACUGGACUGCACUGCCCUUGGAAACAGACCCUGCUCAUGGCAGUAAAAGCACUCCUAAAAAAUGAAGUUUUAAAUAAAACCAACUGUGAGUGCUGGAGGAAGAACCACUGGUGUGGAUCACUGAGCUGCAUUCCCAGCCUCCAUGAGGACACACGUCUCAAAACAGUUCUCUAGUUGAAAAUUAAUUCUCAGAACAACUUCAAGUUUUUGUAAGCUACUGCUCAAGUAAAAGGAAUAAUCACUUUCUGUAGCACCAGCUAAAUAAUUGAAUGCAGAUCUUAGCUGAAUGUUAUCCGUCCAAGGACAGUGGUUGCAUAAUUAUUUCAUAUUAUAUAAAUAUUUAGAUAUUAUUUUUCCCUUAGCAAUUAAAUCAAUAGAUUGGGCUUAAAAACAAAACUGAAUUUAAAAUCCUUGAAUUUUAAAAAAACUUAGUAUUUUUGGGUCUGCAGUGUAAAUUGAAAAAAACCUGUUAUAUUUUGAUUAAAUUGAUCUUUUUUUUUGCUUGCUCUUAUGGGUCAUAAAAGUUGAAGUCUGAAAACUAGGGAGACUGGCAAGGAGACUGAGAAAUGAAUAGGCAAAGUCAUCACUGGAGUUUGUGAGGCUUCCCCAAAAAACCUUUCUCUGAGGAGAUGUCACCAGAGCACAGGGGUGAAUGACUAAUCCAUCCCUGCCAAAAGCAUCGCCUGCUGAUUACAGGUAUGUGUGCUGCCUGCUUGCCUCAUGAGCUACUUUGUGCAUAAAGAAUGGAUACUCAACAGCACAGGUACCAUAAUUUUAUAAUUUUUUCUUUACUUAGACAUUUCUCAUUUCCUAAGAUGUUUCAUGGGCAUUGCAAGUAUUUUACUAUGGAAUGAAAACUUUCUAAAACAUGCUUUUAAAUCAAUCCCCCUUGUCCCAUAGCAAGGUGGGCUUCUCUCCAUUCUCUUUCCUUUCCAGCUCCUCGAUGCAGCUGUGCCACGUUGUUGUGGCUGGGAGCUUUUUAUCCUGUAACUAAACUUUUUGUGCCUAAUCUUACAAAAUGUGUGAGAGUCAUUCCUGGAAGGUGCUCCCUGCAUAUGCCUCAACCCAGGCCGAUGAUCAGGGAUAUUUUCUGUUGUCCAGAGAAAAACAGGACACAGAGGGGGAGAAGCAGUGGUGCCUGAGCAGCAUUGGAUCCUGGCUGGCCUCUUCUGGCUGUGGCUGCUCUGGCUGCUUCAGGAGGAUUCCGGAAAGUGGAAAAAGCUGAGCACAACAAAAGGCUGAGAAAGGGGGCAGCCAAAGUGAUUACAGUGAUUUUUGACUUGUGGAUCUCUGAAUGUUUUCUAUCAUGUGCUUGGCUUUAUCCUUCUGCAUUGCCUUCCCCGCAGCGGCCGCCACUUCCCAGCUGAUCCCUCCUUUCUGUCGCUAAAAUGAGCAGCCUUGGAGUGAUGAAUAUUAAAAUUCACCCACUAACACUGCAGCGAGGUGGGGUCUGAGCAGCUCCUACCUCCCAGCCUGCUGUGCCGCCCUGCCAGCAGAUUCGGGAAGGCGACACCACACUGGUUUAUCCUGGUUUCCUUCCCAGCCCUGACAGCUGGUUAUAACUGGUUGAGCAAUGGCUGGAGUUCAGCACAAUUCAAAUGUCUCACACAGUCUAUAUAAACAUGGCUCCUUGCUUAGAGGUCCUGUUGGAAGCUGUUUCUGUUGGACACUUAGUGAAUUACAGGCUUUAGAAACUACCUGGCAAUGCCUUGAACCAGACACAAAACUUCCACUAAUGCAACCUUUAGAGUCUGAAGUAGGUACUUGGCUGCCAGUUGCUUUCAGGCACACUGUAAAGGGACUCUCUGAAAAAAAAAGAAAAAAAAUCUGACUCUGGACCAGCAUCACAGUUUGUUUCAUCUCGAUUUGGAGUGGUUAAAUAGGAAUUUGCAAAGGAAAUGAAUGAGGGGACCAGCUUCUCUCAUUUAAUAGGCUUGUCUGAGUAGAAGCAAGCAACAAAGGAAUUCUGUGUAAGGUUUGCAAUUUCUGUUGCUCUUGUCUAACCAGAUUUAAAUCGUCAAAAACAAAACAAACAAACAAACCCCCCAAACCAACACGAGCGAGUGUGAGCGAUUUAGACUGCGUGCCUUACAAGUGAUACAGAAUAUGCAUUUAUGAUUCAAAAUUUUAAACAGCUGAGAAAUAAAUAUGCAAAGUAGAUUGUUCUGUUUGCAGAUGGUAAUCCUGCCGCACUGAUUUUGCUCAGCUGUCUGAUUUUUCAGUGUCUGCAUUCCUGGUUCCUGGGAUUCCUGAUUAAGAAAUAAAAUAUGAGUCAUGGUUCAUGGUUACCUUCUGCACAUCUGAAAGGCUAAUUCAGUGACUGAAAACAGAUUAUUAGAGGCUGAUCUUGCCCUGCUGAAUUCGAUUCAAUGUCAGGGGAUUGAGGAAAAAAAACAACAAAACAUUUCUCUGCCCUGCCCUUCAUUUUUCCAGCUGUAGGAUAAACGUUCCUGCAGAGGGGCUUGCAGGAGAGCGGCCCCUCGGCCGGGGGUACCUGGGUGGGGAGGCAGCGGGCAGGCUCGGCAAGGUGAGGCACAUCCCUUCCCUCCCGCUCCCCGGGAUGACUCAGGCGGUUAUUAAAGAUUUCCAGCUUCCAGCUAAAAAUGGCAUCGGCAGCGGUGCCCCGGAGGGAAGAAGGGGAGACGUGAGAAAUGGGUUCUGCUCCUGUCUACGAGUGCUAACACACACUCACACUCUCACACACUCGCAGAGCUGAUGUGGAGCUCAUCUGGGAAAAGUUUAUUUUGCAAUAAGAGGGUUUAGUACUCUGCUAAAGGCUUUUGCGAAGACUGGAUCCAAUUUUCAGAGCCUGUUGCCAAUAUUUGUGAGUCAUUUCCUUGGAAUCCUACCUUUGGUGUUUAUUUCCCUUAGAAGGAAACUUGUAAAAGAAUAACAAUAGCUCUCAUUCUUCGUGGAAAGUAGCACAGAGCAAAGUGGGAGACAACUAGCUCUUUGUUCCAAAACACUUUAGUGUUUGUUUUGUUUACUUUCUUCAGCACACAAAAAGUGAGGAAUGCAAUAUAAUUAACUCCAUAAACCAUCUCAUUUACGGUGCCGGUGACAUGCAUGUGCUGUGCACGGGAGUGAAAGUUAAGUGGGGAAGCGCUUCUAAUUGGUACCUCUCUUCCCGAGCAAGUGAUGAGAACUGCCUGGUGCUUUGGGAAGUCUCCUUGUGCAACAGGAGCAGGGCUUUGCUUUCCCCCAGCCCCGCCUGACUACCGGCACUCCUUUUUCUCUCCUGCCUCAGUCCCAGUAAAGCACUGGGAGCACCUAUCCGGUGUGGAACCCCUCACAAAGGUUAACUAACCCGAAAUGCUCUCGGUUACAGUUCGCAGCACCCUCGGGAUACUGCAGCGUUUUGAAACCUAAACCCCCUCGGAGCUAAGUGCAUCCUGGACAGAGCUUUCAUGUGGAGCAAGGCCACGCAGCCACCAGCGGGGUGGAGGCAGAGAGCAUAUGAGACAUUUUGGCUAAGAACACUGGAAAAAAUAUUUAUGCUUACUGAAAUGAAUACCAUGGGGCUUUAUUGUUCUCCCAGACCAGGCAGGCAAAGCCGCCUUAGGGAGAUGGCUGCAGUAAAUGGGAUGGCACCUUUUCUCAUGUCUGCCAGAGCCCUGAGGCAAAAUAAAUUGCAAUUUUGCUUGCAUUUUCAUAUAUUUGCAUAAAUUCUGGGGAAAACUUUAACUGUUAGAACCAGCAUUUAAGAGAUCACUGCAUACUGGCUACCAAGAGUUCUGAUAGGUGACAUAUACCUACAGAGAAAUGAAAGAGGAAACAUCUUUUCUGUCAGAACAGAAACUUUCUCUUGUUCUGCCUCAUAGAAACCAAAAGCAGGAGAAACUCCAAGUGUUAGGAAUCCAAAAGGACAUUUUCUUUUAAAUCUUUUUUUUUUUCAAUGAAACCCAGGGGACAUUGACAUACCAGUCCAGGUUAACUGCAUAAAGCCUUUCUGGGAACAAUUCAAUUGAAAAGUAUGUAAAGAAAAAAAAACGGAAUAUGGGAAUUAGAAAAAUUAGAGAAAUAUUUGUUUUAAAUGCUGUCUGGAGAAAGAGACACUUAAGCAUCUGGAGCUGCAUAAUCUAAAUUAGGGUAGAAGUAUGAAAAACUCCAAUGAAAGAGCUGUAUCUUGACACUGAAAUCAAUUUCUGAUUUCAGGUUAAUUCUUUUUCUACCAAACAGUAAGUCCAGCUCUAGAAAAAGGAGAGAGAAAAAAAAAAAAAAAAA
Zonotrichia albicollis (white-throated sparrow) is the source of this 4811-nucleotide non-coding RNA. The record is from RefSeq and is a predicted model, not a curated record. NCBI's taxonomy places the organism in Eukaryota, Metazoa, Chordata, Aves, Passeriformes, Passerellidae.